RNAcentral lists this ribosomal RNA (790 nucleotides) under Parcubacteria group bacterium GW2011_GWD1_40_9. Its description in RNAcentral is "bacterial SSU rRNA". It matches the Rfam family "Bacterial small subunit ribosomal RNA", at positions 845 to 1522 of the family's 1533-position model. The record is from RNAcentral.
GGCGAAGCUAACGCGUUAAGUUGUCCGCCUGGGUAGUACGACCGCAAGGUUAAAACUCAAAGGAAUAGACGGGGACUUGCACAAGCAGAGGAUUAUGUGGUUUAAUUCGAUGAUAAACGAAAAACCUUACCAAGGUUUGAAACCUAACUGAAUAGAAGCAGAAACGUUUCUAGUCUCACAAGGACAGUUAGGCAGGUGAUGCAUGGCCGUCGUCAGUUCGUGAUUUGAAUUGUUCCCUUAAGUGGGGUAACGAACGCAACCCUCGUUGUCUGUUAUACGUAUCAGGCGAGACUGCCCAGCUUUUUGCUCGGAAGCAAAAAGCCAGUUAAAAGUUCAUAAAGUUAUAGAGUUCAUAAAGUAAAAUGCAUUUGCAUCUACUUUAAAAACUUUACAAACUUUCAACUUUAAAAACUUACUUUUUGAGCUUGCGCUCAAAAAGCUGGGAGGAAGGCGAGGAUGACGCCAGGUCAGCAUGUCCCUUUGAUACCUUGGGCUACACACAUAAUACAAUGGCGACCACAACGCGUUGCGACGGGGUAACCCUGAGCUAAUCGUAAUAAAAGUCGCCCCAGUUCAGAUUGGGGGCUGAAACUCGACCCCAUGAAGUUGGAUUUGCUAGUAAUCGCGGGUCAGCUAUACCGCGGUGAAUACGUUCUCAAGUCUUGUACUCACCGCCCGUCAACUCAAGGGAACCGGGAAUACCCGAAGUCUAGCGUAUGCUAGCCCACGGUAAAUUCGGUAACAGGGAGUAAGUCGUAACAAGGCACGGCUAGCGGAAGCUGGUCGUGGA